UGCUGGUGUUUUACUCGAAUGUGUCCCACCUCUUCCCAUUUCGAACAGAGAAGUGAAAGCAUUUGAGGCUGAUGAUACUCGGAUUUCCGGGGAAAGUAGGGUACGCCGGCAU
Molecule: ribosomal RNA, 112 nt
Filed under: Candidatus Colwelliibacteriota bacterium
Lineage: Bacteria; Candidatus Colwelliibacteriota
Source: RNAcentral